This 2575-nucleotide long non-coding RNA is filed under the name Dromaius novaehollandiae (emu). Its description in RNAcentral is "lncRNA (ENSDNVG00000015207.1)". The record is from RNAcentral. Lineage: Eukaryota; Metazoa; Chordata; Aves; Casuariiformes; Dromaiidae.
GAAAGAGUGCGGGGAGCGGAGACGAAGGGGCUGAAAGCGGGGGGGCUUUUCUGCACCACACGCCGGGACUGUUCAGCCCGGCAAAGGAGUGAGUGAGCAGGGGUAUAACCAGAUAAUAAAGGCAGGAGUGGAGAAGGAUUGCUGGUWGGAAGGCACAGGGCCUCAGGGAAAUAAGCCAGUGGCAGGUUUGUACUUUUUGUUACAUAGACUCGACUGGAGGAUGCUAAAAACCUUGAACGGGGGCAAAAUCGUUCUGAUUAAUCCAGGGAAGAUAAAUCCUCUAGAGCUGCUAAACACAGAGACACACAGGACGUCCYGGAGCCACGAAUGGCUGGAGGCUGGGACGUAUUGCAGGGAAGAUACGGCUCUGAGUCUCAUCUUUGUACUCUCCUAGUACCUGCACUUGUCACCGGUCUGUAAAGAGACUCCUGAAUAGCCUGGUGAUGGCCAGAUUUUGGGAAGGAAGUUCAGUGCAGCAAUUGGGAAAACAAAACCUGUAUCCAUUUUAAAGGGAUGGACUCAGCAAUCUCUCGUACUUGAUUUAAGCUCUUCCCUCAGAUUGCGUGGACAGUUCUUUUUCCCACCCUGUGUUUAGGAACCCAUCCCCUUACUAGCAGGGUUGUUCUUACCUGCACAACUGCCCCUUGCAUUUCRUCUCGCUGAGCAAAGCUGGAGCAAAUCCAAAGGCCCAAGCCUAGAAGAUGGAGAGGCUGAGRAGGUAGUUGCCACUUCCCAUGUGCUACUCGUUUCCUGCUUCCUCCUGUACCCACGUGGCCAGGUCUUGCUUUUACAGUGGCUGUUCUUCCCCCAUAAUGUCAGGCAUUGCAURCAUUUUACAGCAGAUACCCACUACUGGGAAAAAUUGAGCACURUUGUAUCCCUAUUUUUCCUAAUCAUGUAUUUUUUCCCACCGCAGGGAUAUUUCCACCAGACCUYCCACGAAGAAGAAGAUACUGUCCCUUCCCUAACUUGGCCAGUCGUAAGGCAAAUGUCUUCAGACUGCCUCCAAGGCAAAGGCAAAACAUCUCCAUGCGCUGCCAGGGGUAAUGAGGACUAUCGGGUGAACCUAGUUUUACAUCAGAAGAUCAGGGCCAUCUUUCAGCCGAACGCUGCUGCUCUGAAAGACCUCCGAGCCAGUGUGUUGGAGACACACCAACAAGAAAGGCAACGCCAAUGGCAAAAACAGUGCCCAAACCAAACAACUGAAGUAAAAGAAGCCUUUAUGAAAAACUCAGGAAAUGUCACAUCAAACUAUUGGCAAAUGGGAAAAAACUUUGAAUGCUGAAACAGUGUGGUUGGAGAGAGCUUUCUGUGCGCAGGUGCGUGCUCAGCAUUGGCAAAUAUUGUUGCAUACCUCCUUGUUUUGCUGUUAUUUCUCUGGCUGUCUGCAAACAGAUGCCUAUAGUAAGAGCCAACCAGCUUCAGAAAGGGUUUUGUCUUCUGCCAGUGCUCUAUWCGGCAGAGGCACCUGGGGAAGCCAGGAGCUAGUGGAGGAAGGAGAGGGCAGCAAUCUGCCUCCCCUUACUUCUUCCAGGCUCCCUGGUCCUCUUCAUCGCACCUGCCCCGUGGAUUGUAUGCUCACCAUGGGAUGUCAUGUGGUCGGGGGGAAAGAGGAGAUGUAGGGAAGGGGCUCUGUGGGACGCUCCUGUCCCACCUCUGCAUUUCCAUGACAAGCCGGGAGUUAGCAUCACGUCUCCUGGCAGGGGACUUCUUUCUGCCUUUCUCAGUUGCAUUCAGGCUUCCUCGCGCUCUGCAUUUUUGUCCUCUGAAAGUGGUUGCAGGGUUUUGCAAGACAUGAUGGAGGUAUCGCUUUUAGCCAGSUUUUUCACAUGCAGGCAGUCUGUGCAUACACCUGUCUCUGCAUCCUCUCCCAAUCGGCUUUUAUCCAGCGUCAGCCAGAUCUGAUAGACAUCCCUCUGAGGAUGAUAAAUCGAAGGGUGGGUACAGCGAUGCCACGUGGGAAGGCCUAAGGCUGCCGCGAGCGGCCACGUUCUGCUGCUCCAGAGCAGCCGGUUGCGUUACCCGGUUGCAGCAGCUAUGGCUGGAGGCUUCAGAAGGGCGGAUCAGCUCUGAACGCUCCUGCCAAUUAUUUCUCUAACCUGUUCCCAAAGCCCUUUGGCCACAGAGACCUCAGCACCCGCAGGCAGCCUCUGAGUGCUUUGCUAUCCUCGUCCUCCGAAAGCUUUUCUCACUUGAAGCGCCCUGCCAGCGUGUGACUCCUUGUCCUGCCCACCACGGACGUCGGGCCAGUUUAUUCUCAUUAUCUUUGCACUAGCCCUYGACACGUUUGGAGACCGUUAACGUGCUUCCCUUCAUUCUUCUCUUCUCGAGAGCGUUGCUCUCCCGCCGAGGCCGGCCCCCGGCCCCCGGCCCUCCCGGCCGAGUCUGGGCCGCCUGAAAGGUCUGGCUUGUUUCCCUACCAGCUUCUGCGCAGUAAAACCAAACAGACCUUCUCCUAACUGCGUUGCUUCCUGCCUUGAGCGCCGAAGGGAAACGUCCCUCGCAAGCAGAGAAAACAUAGAGGUCGCUUGAGACUUACAAUAAAGGCGUUAUCAAACUCGCUGUGGAGCGGUCG